GACGAACGCUGGCGGCGUGCUUAACACAUGCAAGUCGAACGGAAGGGCCCUGCUUUUGUUGGGUUCUCGAUUGGCGCACGGGUGAGUAACACGUGAGUAACCUCUCCUUAACUUUGGGAUAACUUCAGGAAACUGGGGCUAAUACCGGAUAGGAGCUCCUGCUGCAUGGUGGUGGUUGGAAAGUUUCGGCGGUUGGGGAUAGACUCGCGGCUUAUCAGCUUGUUGGUCAGGUAGUUGCUUACCAAGGCUUUGACGGGUAGCCUGCCUGAGAGGGGGACCGGGGACAAGGGGACUGAGAUACGGCGCAGAAGCCUACGGGAGGCAGCAGUCGGGAAUAUUGCGCAGCGGGCGGAAGCGUGAGGCGGCAACGCCGCGAGCGUGAUGACCGGUUUCGGGUGGUGAACCGAUGUCGCCUGUGAUGAAGCGUGAGUGACGGUAAUGAGUAAAGAAGCAACGGCUAACUACGUG
This 468-nucleotide ribosomal RNA is filed under the name uncultured bacterium. RNAcentral describes it as "partial 16S ribosomal RNA". It matches the Rfam family "Bacterial small subunit ribosomal RNA", at positions 28 to 507 of the family's 1533-position model. The record is from RNAcentral.